UACGUAGGCAGCAAGCGUUGUUCGGAAUUACUGGGCGUAAAGAGUGUGUAGGCGGUGUUCUAAGUUUGGUGUGGAAAUCUCCCGGCUCAACUGGGAGGUGCGCCGAAACUGGAAUGCUAGAGUAUGGGAGAGGUAAGCGGAAUUCCUGGUGUAGCGGUGAAAUGCGUAGAUAUCAGGAGGAACACCUGUGGUGUAGACAGCUUACUGGACCAUCACUGACGCUGAGACACGAAAGCGUGGGGAGCAAACAGG
This 252-nucleotide ribosomal RNA is filed under the name uncultured bacterium. RNAcentral describes it as "partial 16S ribosomal RNA". It matches the Rfam family "Bacterial small subunit ribosomal RNA", at positions 524 to 776 of the family's 1533-position model. The record is from RNAcentral.